RNAcentral lists this ribosomal RNA (1161 nucleotides) under Staphylococcus aureus. RNAcentral describes it as "bacterial SSU rRNA". It matches the Rfam family "Bacterial small subunit ribosomal RNA", at positions 78 to 1225 of the family's 1533-position model. Lineage: Bacteria; Bacillati; Bacillota; Bacilli; Caryophanales; Staphylococcaceae. The record is from RNAcentral.
UUGCUUCUCUGAUGUUAGCGGCGGACGGGUGAGUAACACGUGGAUAACCUACCUAUAAGACUGGGAUAACUUCGGGAAACCGGAGCUAAUACCGGAUAAUAUUUUGAACCGCAUGGUUCAAAAGUGAAAGACGGUCUUGCUGUCACUUAUAGAUGGAUCCGCGCUGCAUUAGCUAGUUGGUAAGGUAACGGCUUACCAAGGCAACGAUGCAUAGCCGACCUGAGAGGGUGAUCGGCCACACUGGAACUGAGACACGGUCCAGACUCCUACGGGAGGCAGCAGUAGGGAAUCUUCCGCAAUGGGCGAAAGCCUGACGGAGCAACGCCGCGUGAGUGAUGAAGGUCUUCGGAUCGUAAAACUCUGUUAUUAGGGAAGAACAUAUGUGUAAGUAACUGUGCACAUCUUGACGGUACCUAAUCAGAAAGCCACGGCUAACUACGUGCCAGCAGCCGCGGUAAUACGUAGGUGGCAAGCGUUAUCCGGAAUUAUUGGGCGUAAAGCGCGCGUAGGCGGUUUUUUAAGUCUGAUGUGAAAGCCCACGGCUCAACCGUGGAGGGUCAUUGGAAACUGGAAAACUUGAGUGCAGAAGAGGAAAGUGGAAUUCCAUGUGUAGCGGUGAAAUGCGCAGAGAUAUGGAGGAACACCAGUGGCGAAGGCGACUUUCUGGUCUGUAACUGACGCUGAUGUGCGAAAGCGUGGGGAUCAAACAGGAUUAGAUACCCUGGUAGUCCACGCCGUAAACGAUGAGUGCUAAGUGUUAGGGGGUUUCCGCCCCUUAGUGCUGCAGCUAACGCAUUAAGCACUCCGCCUGGGGAGUACGACCGCAAGGUUGAAACUCAAAGGAAUUGACGGGGACCCGCACAAGCGGUGGAGCAUGUGGUUUAAUUCGAAGCAACGCGAAGAACCUUACCAAAUCUUGACAUCCUUUGACAACUCUAGAGAUAGAGCCUUCCCCUUCGGGGGACAAAGUGACAGGUGGUGCAUGGUUGUCGUCAGCUCGUGUCGUGAGAUGUUGGGUUAAGUCCCGCAACGAGCGCAACCCUUAAGCUUAGUUGCCAUCAUUAAGUUGGGCACUCUAAGUUGACUGCCGGUGACAAACCGGAGGAAGGUGGGGAUGACGUCAAAUCAUCAUGCCCCUUAUGAUUUGGGCUACACACGUGC